Molecule: ribosomal RNA, 407 nt
Filed under: uncultured bacterium
Lineage: Bacteria
Description: partial 16S ribosomal RNA
Rfam family: Bacterial small subunit ribosomal RNA
Source: RNAcentral
AUUGAACGCUGGCGGCAGGCCUAACACAUGCAAGUCGAGCGGAGCGGCGGACGGGUGAGUAAUGCCUAGGAAUCUGCCUGGUAGUGGCGGAUAACGUCCGGAAACGGGCGCUAAUACCGCAUGAUAUCAGAUGAGCCUAGGUCGGAGUGGCUAGUUGGUGGGGUAAAGGCCUACCAAGGCGACGAUCAGGAACUGGUCUGAGAGGAUGAUCAGUCACACUGGAACUGAGACACGGUCCAGACUCCUACGGGAGGCAGCAGUGGGGGAUCUUGCACAAUGGGCGAAAGCCUGAUGCAGCCAUGCCGCGUGUAUGAAGAAGGCCUUAGGGUUGUAAAGUACUUUCAGCGGGGAGGCGUUACCCGCAGAGGAAGCACCGGCUAACUCCGUGCCAGCAGCCGCGGUAAUUC